GUGAGGAAUAUUGCGCAAUGGGGGAAACCCUGACGCAGUGACGCCGCGUGAGUGAUGAAGGCUUUCGAGUCGUAAAGCUCUGUUAGGUGGAAAGAAACAUUCCGGCGCUAAUAUCGCCGGGACUUGACGGUACCACCAGAGGAAGCACCGGCUAACUCCGUGCCAGCAGCCGCGGUAAUACGGAGGGUGCAAGCGUUGUUCGGAUUUACUGGGCGUAAAGGGCGUGUAGGCGGUUAACUAAGUCAGAUGUGAAAUCCCUUAGCUUAACUAAGGAAGUGCAUUUGAAACUGGCUAACUGGAGUACAGGAGAGGAAAGUGGAAUUCCCAGUGUAGAGGUGAAAUUCAUAGAUAUUGGGAGGAACACCGGUAGCGAAGGCGGCUUUCUGGCCUGAUACUGACGCUGAGACGCGAAAGCGUGGGUAGCAAACAGGAUUAGAAACCCCAGUAGUCC
RNAcentral lists this ribosomal RNA (451 nucleotides) under uncultured bacterium. RNAcentral's name for it is "bacterial SSU rRNA". It matches the Rfam family "Bacterial small subunit ribosomal RNA", at positions 354 to 796 of the family's 1533-position model. The record is from RNAcentral.